GGAUCCCUCAGCUGAGUGGCUCUGCUGAGGUUAUAGGGUGUUUGUAGUGCUGCAGUGCUUCAGGCUGGACUGUCUAAGAAAAAGGCAAUUUUCAUGUACCGUCUCCUGAUCUGUUUGUACCGUGACAGCAACGGAGUCCUAACUGCCUGAGAGUUCACCAAGAACUGUCCAGUGGGUGACUCUCUGCUCCUCCACAGCAAAAGCUGGCUGAGGAAAUACAACUUGCUGAAGGCGGUUACCUUUGUUCGAAGCCAACUGAGACAGCGCCAGCACUCAGUAAUUACAGCCAUACAGUUUCCAGGAGACUCCUUCUUCACCAGACCUGUCGUCUCAUGUCCCCAUUUGUAACACUGUUCAUUAUAUUCAACCUGCUGCCGUCACUCCAGAGCUUUCAAAAGGUAUUCUGUGGGCUAUCGUGCUGCAGGACACGGAUAAUGAAAUAGUUAGACGUGACUUGUAUUAUAAUCGGCUCACCUAACUUUCAUUUGGCUUGAAAAGUAGACUUAAUAAAAGCAAGAGUGAAAGGCAUUUUAUGUUUUUAAUAAGGAGUCUCAUAUGGUAU
Long non-coding RNA from Harpia harpyja (harpy eagle), 562 nucleotides. RefSeq lists it as uncharacterized. The record is from RefSeq and is a predicted model, not a curated record. Lineage: Eukaryota; Metazoa; Chordata; Aves; Accipitriformes; Accipitridae. The transcript is spliced from 3 exons.